This is a non-coding RNA of Nicotiana tabacum (common tobacco), 1143 nucleotides long. The record is from RefSeq and is a predicted model, not a curated record. Lineage: Eukaryota; Viridiplantae; Streptophyta; Magnoliopsida; Solanales; Solanaceae.
AUCUUGCUUAAUUAAUAUUUUUUCCUGCUAUUUUUGAUAAAUUGGGUUAAGUGUUAAAUAAUGGCCGGGCUUGCCUUGUAGUGUGCUGGGCGCCAUCACGACCGGGAUUUGGGUCGUGACACUUAUGUACCGUGUGCCUUAUCCUGAAAUUGGUACAACAAAGACGACCAACAAGAAGGAAAAUUGAUAUGUAACAACUUUCACCUUUUGUGAAAAUAGUUGAUGAGUCUAUUCGUAAGAUUGCGAUUCGUGUUCUAGGCUUCUGCAGCUGCUCGCUCUAUUGCAGCCGAUGUCAAAAGUACUGGUGAUCAGCAAAUAAUUAAUUCAGUUGAUGUCACAUGUGGUCUAAGCUUCGGCAAAUACACUGCUCUGGCGUUUGCAGGAGCUUUCAAGUUCCUGGCUUGCAUAACCUUAUGGAAACACAUACAUUAGGAGUUGCUUUCGAGGAUGGGCUUAAGCUGGUCAAGCUAAGAGGAGAAGCUAGGAUGCUGCUGAUGCUGGAAAAAGUGCAAUGGAAAAUUAUGCAGUCUCCGGAGGUCUUAAAGGAGUGGAAGUGGUAAAAGCAAAAGCAAAAUGAUUCAAAGCUCUAAUGACGGUACGUCUAGCUGAGUUUUAUGAAUCCAGCUUUCUCAAGACUAGAAGCUGCUCUGGGUGCAACAGAGAUCAGAACUCCUAGAAUACCAAUAAUAUCAAAUGUUAAUGUGCAACCACAUGCAGAUCCAGACACAAUUAAGAAAAUAUUAGCUCGCCAGAAAGCUCAUUCAGAAAUGACAAAAGCUGGUAUAUUCUAGGACAUCAGUCUGAAAGAUUUGUCAACUUUGAGAAAGAAGAGCUAUCCAAAGCAGAAUAUACAAAUGUAUUGAAAGUUAUGAGAUACAGUUGACAUUAUAAUUGGUUCAUAAGCCUCGACGACACUCAGGAUCCAGUUACCCUGAGUAUACUUUCCCAAUCAUAAUUGUUUGCCGAACAACAUAUGUCUAAAUGGGUGAGUAUAAUCCUUUUUCAUUCUUUUUCCUUCCGAUUCUAAGAUGCUUGCUUUGGCGUUAUUCACUAACACCUCGUAGGUGAAUGAGUGAUCGGGUUUUGGUCUGAACCUCGUGUUUUGACCAAGCGGGCUCGGGGUCAAUUUUUGACCUUUUGGGA